AGGACAGAGGGGAGAACAGUGUUGUUAGUUAGCAUAAAGGAAGGGCUGUUUUCUUUACAGGCUAACCAAACUGUUGUAAACUACCAGCUGACAAGAUGGCAGCUGCUUUUGUAGUGUGGGAGUACUGAUAAUGGGAUUUUCCCAGCAGCUUCUGUGAGAAAAUGAAGAAAACAUUAGUCUUUAGAUCUCAACAGUGCUGAUAUUUCUCUAUAUAGCUUUUGUUGUUCUUCCUCCAAGAAACCCAACAUGUUUAGAAGGAAGGGGGAGGAAACAAAGUGGAGGUCUUGACCCCUCAGUAUUUACAUUUAGCCACACAUGAUUCCCACUCCCUGUUCAACAACAGGGUUGUCUGUGUAACAUAAAUGCAUCACCCCAUAAACCUCCCAUCCCUCUCUGACAAUGUGAGGGUCACAUACUUUUAUAUUUCCAGGGCCCUCAUUUUCCAUGCUGUUGGUGGACCAGAGCUGACCUGAACCAACAGGCGAACAGGGCUGUGCGUGAUUGAAGCCAGGGGACAAUAAAGCAGCUGAACAGGAGCAGCAGAGGGAAGCCGACACCAAGGGAAGAGCAGCGGAGAGGCGCCAAGGGCGACAAGCCACAUCGCAACCGUCCGAGAGGGAUGAAGGAAAGGCACACGUACCAGAGACCGCAAGUGUUACGACGUGAUUCACACGCAGCGGCAGGGAAAAGUCCCUGCCUGCCGUGUAAGUACCGAGAGAGAAAGUAGUAGCACUUGGCGGACACGAGCUAAGCUGACGCUGUUGUUGUACGAGGCUGAAUCCCAAACCGCCCCCUACACACUCCCCCUCCACUACCGAGUGUCACUCCAAAAGAAGUCACACUCGCAGCUGUGGAGGGCACCUAUUAUUGAAGGGGGAGGGUAUAAAUACGAUCGUCAGGAAUGGGAUGCCCUGUCGCCUCACCGGAAAAACGGAAGACGUCAUCGCCAUGGUAACACAAAGACGCCUACUGUGCAUGGCUGUAGCGCUAUGGCACAGGUUGCAACUAACAAGGAUCGCUGCUGCUUCCAGAAGACAAAAGCAUCCCACUUUUUUCACUCACAUGUUUUCCAGUCCUAUUAUCUGGAAUUUCAAAUCCAACAAAUGAAUAAAUGAAUUCUGUCAGUUGUGUUCAAAUUUUAAGGUGUCAGGGGGUGCACAAUUAAAUCAAACGUCAGCAGAGAAGAAGAUUUAUUUCUUUUGAUUUAUCUUUUUGCACCACUCUUUGUGAUGUUCUGUCAGUGUGAAAAAGGCGUGGGAGAAAUAAAGGACGCAUGUGGAACUCACAUCAAUAUGUUUGUUUCCUCCUCCAUUUCGACGUUGCACUUCCUGAAAAAGUUGUCCAGAGUGAGCAUCGAUGCAGACUCGCUAUUUAAGGGCUGAACAGUCCACUCCCCCUCCGCACUACGCAGUUUGGGACGGCCCUUAAUAUGGAGGACCCUCCGCGGGAACGUGCAAACGGAGGGGUAGUGUGUAGUGAUGGGACGAUGAUACCUCAAGGAGUGUAUUGACACACUAAACAAACUGUGUCGGCACUGUAUUGAUACUGUGUUGGUCACCCAAUAGUGACGCCUGCAGUAGUUAUAAAAUCAUUGCAGGUAAAGAAAUUCCUUGUUCGUGUAAAUGCUAAAACUGAGUUGGUAUGUAAAAUAUAGCAAAUUGGAGUAAAAAAUCGGAGUUACAAUUUUUUAACUUAUGUGCACAUUUGUCAACUUAACUGUUAAAUCAUAUGAAAUAAAAGACAAAAAAGUGA
Long non-coding RNA from Acanthochromis polyacanthus (spiny chromis), 1752 nucleotides. RefSeq lists it as uncharacterized. The transcript is spliced from 2 exons. The record is from RefSeq and is a predicted model, not a curated record. NCBI's taxonomy places the organism in Eukaryota, Metazoa, Chordata, Actinopteri, Pomacentridae.